CCUGAUUCCAACCUGGUGGGAGCCACGGGUGUAUCUGAAGGGAGUUCCGGCUCUCUGCUCUUGCCCAAGAGGAGUGAGUUCUGGACACUGGAAUGGCUCCCAUGCUCCUGACAGCCAGGUCUCCCCAGGACUGGCCGUGUGUAAACCAUGGGUGAUCCACCAGCUGGAGCAAGGGGAGGCUCCUUGGACGCCAGAGAGGAGAGUCCUGGGCAGCGGCCGUCCAGAAAGAAUCCAUAUCCAAGAUUGUCAGUGAAACUGAGGAUCUAUCCUUUUGGCCUCUUAUUAUAGGAGGUUUCUCUGGGUAUCUCCUGACUGAUGGUCAUCUAGCUACUGCCUAAUUUUUCCAAGUACUUUGAGCUUUGCUCUAUUCUGUUUCUUCUGCUAGUUAAACUUGUGACAAUGGAAACUCAAAACAUCUCUCCAGGCUUUGGCUUUCUGUUAAAAACUAAUAAAUGUCUUUCCU
RNAcentral lists this long non-coding RNA (463 nucleotides) under Sarcophilus harrisii (Tasmanian devil). Its description in RNAcentral is "lncRNA (ENSSHAG00000025929.1)". The record is from RNAcentral. Lineage: Eukaryota; Metazoa; Chordata; Mammalia; Dasyuromorphia; Dasyuridae.